RNAcentral lists this long non-coding RNA (699 nucleotides) under Mytilus galloprovincialis (Mediterranean mussel). Lineage: Eukaryota; Metazoa; Mollusca; Bivalvia; Mytilida; Mytilidae. The record is from RNAcentral.
UUUUUUGAUCCGUCAAAAAACAUGGCCGCCGUUACUUAAAAUAGAACAUAGGGGUCAAAUGCAGUUUUUGGCUUAUAUCUCAAAAACGAAAGCAUUAAGAGCAAAUCUGACAUGAAGUAAAAAUGUUCAUUAGGUCAAUAUCUAUCAGCCCUGAAAUUUUCAGAUGAAUCAAACAUCCAAUUGUUGGGUUGCUGCCACUUAAUUGGUAAUUUUAAGGAAAUUUUGCAGUUUUUUGUCAUUAUCUUGAAUAUUAUUAUAGAUAAAGAUAAACUGUAAACAGCAAAAAAGAUCAGCAAGUAAGAUCUACAAAUAAGUUAAUAUGACCAAAAUUGUCAAUUGACCCCUUAAGGGGUUAUUGUCCUUUAAUGACAAUUUUUCACAAUUUGUUCAUCAUAUUUGCUAACUUUAAAAAAUCUUCUCCUCUGAAACUACUGAAUGGAUUUGGUUAAAACUUAGCAUGGUUGUUCCUUAGAUUUAUCUGCACAAAAUGUGCGCUUAUUUUUGAUCCGUCAAAAAACAUGGCCGCCGUUACUUAAAAUAGAACAUAGGGGUCAAAUGCAGUUUUUGGCUUAUAUCUCCAAAACGAAAGCAUUUAGAGCAAAUCUGACAUGGGGUAAAAAUGUUCAUUAGGUCAAGAUCUAUCAGCCCUGAAAUUUUCAGAUGAAUCAAACAAACCAUUGUUGGGUUGCUGCCACUUAA